Oncorhynchus tshawytscha (Chinook salmon) is the source of this 682-nucleotide long non-coding RNA. Lineage: Eukaryota; Metazoa; Chordata; Actinopteri; Salmoniformes; Salmonidae. The record is from Ensembl.
AGUGAGGCUUAACUUGGCGUGAUGUUUUGAUAAUAUAUUCGCCUAUAUUUACAAAAAAAAUAAAAAAUAGUUAGCAGAGCAGUAAAUCAAAAAAGUGAUUUGUAUUACUUGUUUGUAUAGUAUGUUGACUUUGGUGUCUAUUUCAAACCUUAUGGCAUUUUUCAAGGAUGAGCAUAAGAGCAUUAAAAGGGGAGAAGACCACUAUAACUCUGGCCAUGUGGAGAAGUGCAGGGGCAAUUUACCUGUUUAGUCUGGGCCAGCAUGAGGGAUAAAGUUUUUCCUGUGUCCUCGAUCUGCUGUAGUCUACAACUGGACUCUUGCGCUCGGAUCACACUGGCACAGGUUAUCCAUGUACCGGAAGGCCUGAGGGAUGCACUCUGUUGAACUGGAAAACAAAGAGACGUGUCCGGAUCUUCCUCUUCUGCCAUGGUGGACGAGCACCUUUUCUGGUAAAUACAGGGCCAUUUCUCUUUCCCGCAGGAAAAUGGCACCUGCAGACCCAAGUGUUGUCACUGGGUUUCCGGUCCACCCAUCUGAAGAAAAAAAUACCUUUACUAGCUAGCUAAUAACUAAAAUGGUAACAUACUGUAUAUACAGUGAGGGGGGAAAGUAUUUGAUCCCCUGCUGAUUUUGUACGUUUGCCCACUGACAAAGAAAUUAUCUGUAACGAUUGUCAUAGGUG